This 515-nucleotide long non-coding RNA is filed under the name Selaginella moellendorffii. Its description in RNAcentral is "long non-coding RNA (SMOE_LNC000938)". Lineage: Eukaryota; Viridiplantae; Streptophyta; Lycopodiopsida; Selaginellales; Selaginellaceae. The record is from RNAcentral.
UUGGCUAAGGUAUUUAAAUGGACCUUCUCUUCCGCGUUGCAAGGCUUGAGGUAAUCUCUAGGGCAAUUAUCGAUAGGGCUCUCUUGGCGAUGGCGAUACGCCGGCGCCAAGGCGCUGUGGACGCGGCGCCUGCAUUCCUUGUCGCAGUCCGCCAUGGCUCUGUCGAUGCCGCCGGAUUUGAGCUCCAGCUUGCCAUGGCGCUAUCGAUGCCGCCGCAUUUGAGCUCCAGGUAAGAGAACCCGAUAUCCUUCUUUUCUUGUUUUGGUUUUCUUUCUUUUGUUGCAGCAAAUGCCAAGUGAAAGAUAAGUAUAUAAAUUGAAACGACCAGAUACAAUCGCGGUAUGUAAGUUGUCUAGAACAAACGACGCGAGCAUUCAUGGUUUUCUCCGCAGAUUUAUGCGUAAAAUCACGCUAGUACUCACAACUUCGUCCGUGCUAUUGACGAGUUGCUGAAAGAUAGAAUAGAUGCAAGAGAACACUGUUUAUAGAAGUAUAUUUUUCUAUCAACUAUUGAC